GCCUUCGUGGUGUAGUGGUCAGCACGCUCGACGUGUAGGUCCGUGGUUCGAGUCCCGGCAAGGGCA
RNAcentral lists this transfer RNA (66 nucleotides) under Stegodyphus mimosarum. It matches the Rfam family "tRNA". Rfam says of the family: Transfer RNA (tRNA) molecules are approximately 80 nucleotides in length. The record is from Rfam by way of RNAcentral. Lineage: Eukaryota; Metazoa; Arthropoda; Arachnida; Araneae; Eresidae.